RNAcentral lists this unclassified non-coding RNA (329 nucleotides) under soil metagenome. RNAcentral describes it as "partial contains 5.8S ribosomal RNA, internal transcribed spacer 2, and large subunit ribosomal RNA". The stretch from base 1 to 120 matches the Rfam family "5.8S ribosomal RNA", at positions 35 to 154 of the family's 154-position model. The record is from RNAcentral.
GAUGAAGAACGUAGCGAAAUGCGAUAAGUAAUGUGAAUUGCAGAAUUCAGUGAAUCAUCGAAUCUUUGAACGCACAUUGCGCCCCCUGGUAUUCCGGGGGGCAUGCCUGUCCGAGCGUCAUUACAACCCUCAAGCUCUGCUUGGUGUUGGGCCCCGCCGCCCCGGCGGGCCCUAAAGUCAGUGGCGGUGCCAUCCGGCUCCGAGCGUAGUAAUUCUUCUCGCUCUGGAGGUCCGGUUGUGUGCUUGCCAUCAACCCCCAAUUUUUUUCAGGUUGACCUCAGAUCAGGUAGGGAUACCCGCUGAACUUAAGCAUAUCAAUAAGCGGAGGA